Molecule: long non-coding RNA, 2394 nt
Filed under: Nicotiana tabacum (common tobacco)
Lineage: Eukaryota; Viridiplantae; Streptophyta; Magnoliopsida; Solanales; Solanaceae
Description: long non-coding RNA (NTAB_LNC015857)
Source: RNAcentral
UAAAUGAAAAGAUGUAAUAUAUUGCUUUGAUCUGCGAGAAUGUAUGUGAUUACAAAAUGAUUAGGACCCUCUUUAUAUAGUAGAGGAAUUCUUUUUGUGGUACAAUUAUAAUUACAGAAGGAAAUCCCAUGAUGGGCUAAAUAUCCGGUCUUGGCUUGAUACGUGCCGAGGUUUCCGCCACGAUCCUCGCCUGAUCACGGCUAUAUCGGGUUUCUGUUAUUCGACCUAGCAGGCUUCUCCGUUCUCAUUCGAUCUCUUUCUCGCUUCGGACUCGGUCACGGUUGAUAUCGAUCUUGAUCAGCCAUUGUUCCACGAGCUUAUUAAUUCAUCCUCGUAUUAUGAUCCGAUAUAACCGAGGCCGAGCCUUAAUCUAUCACCUCGAUUUCAGUCAGUCAUACAAAAUUAAGCAAGCUCAAUUAUAAAGCGGUAUCCUUAAAAAGUUGUUUUAUACCAAAUUAAACAAAUACUUAGCAAACUUUUUUUGAGGACAAAAUGAGGAAAAUAGUAAGUACCAUUCAAGCUCAUGGAGCAAAUUAUGCUAACUUAAGGAUGAGGCGGGAGUUGGAUUUAAUUCCCUUUCUAACAUACAAGGCUAUUUGCUAUGAAACGAUCGUGGAGACUGAGGACUCACCAGUGUCUAUAGGCUUCUUUCAUCACGGCAAAGUAUUGUCUAAGGACCAAUAUCAUUGCUAGAAAAUAGAUCUUUACUCAAUCAUAGAGCUGCAAAAAGCUCCUGGAGAGUAGAAAGAAAGCUGAGCCAUAUAUGAUAUGGAAAGUUAAUAAAGGAAAUUCAUUAUUUUGAUGGCACUUGGGGGUGUACAAAGAAAACCGAUAAAUCGAAUCAACCCGAUAGUUCGAGUCAAACUGAGAGAAAAAUUCGAUUAUGGUUUGGUUUGAUUUGGUUUGGUGUUGGAAAAAAAUCCGACCAUAAUUGGUUUGAUUUUAACUAAAGAAAGUCAAACCGAAACCAAACCAACUCGGCAUUACAUAUAUAGAAAUUUUAGAUAUAUUUAACAUAUAAAUAUACUUAUUGUGAUGUAAUUUGCAAAUAUUUCUUAAACUUUUUUCAUAAUUUUAUCAUUUAAGGUAUUAUUUCAAGGUUGGACUUAGAACUUUUGAAUGUUCCAAUAAGUUUUAUAGUCAUUAAUAUUAGUAACUUAAAUAAGAGAUAAAUAAUGCUAACAAAAGCCCAAACCAAAAUCAAAUCAAUACUAAUGCUAACAAAAGACAGUCAGUUCAAUACUACGAAUGGCAAUGUAUUGAAUAUCUAUUUUGGUUUUGCAAUAAUUUAGAUAAAAAUACGUAACCUAUUUUUAUUUUUUCUUUAGCGUUUAAUCAUGUAAUUAAUACUCCCUUAUUAGUCUACUUAUUUUCGCAUGACUUAGUACUUUUAGAUUAUGUUUAUUUUUAUUAUUGUUUUUUAAUUAGCAAUAUGUAUAUUACAUAAUUUUAUUGUCUUUAUUGUUGAAUAUUCUAGGAUAAUGCCAUGACAUAUCUUAGUAUUUUGUAUUAUUUUCUUGGAAAAUACCUUAUAUAGUUGUAUCUUACCAGGAUUAAAGAAAUAUUUUGAGCACAAGUUAUAUGUUUUGUCCUACAAAUAUUUUACCGGAAAAAACCCGAAAAACCUGAAUAACCCGAAAACCCGAUAUUGAAAAACUCGAGUUUUAUUGGUUUGGUCUUUAGAUUAAAUAACCCGACACAAUUGGUUUGGUUUGGUAAUUGCAAAAUCCGAACCAACCCGACCUAUGUAGCCCUAGGUGGCACAACCGGACAGGACUUGGUCCUUUAGCUCUUGUACUACAACCUGGAGGUAGAUCAGGAGAGAUUAAGGUCAAGGAAUGCACUCAGGACAGUAGAUGGAACUCCAACAAAUUGUCUAAGAUAGUCCAUCCUAAAUGCAAAGUCACAUAGAACAGAUUCAUGUCUCUCGCACUUAUGCAGACGAUCAAUGUUAUUGGAUCUUAGUUCUGAUGGAUAGUUCAUUUGUUCUUCUGCUUGAGAGAUCGGACAGACAAAUAAAAAUGACACAUUUUCUAGGCUAUGGCACAAAGGAAUUCCUUUUAAAGCUUUCCUCUGUUGGAGUAUUCUGAAGAAAAAACUUCAUUUGGAUGAUACUUUAUCUAGAUUUAGUCAAAAUAUUAUUUCCAAAUGCACUUGCUGUAGGUCCCCUCGAUCAGAAACCACCUCUCACUUUGAAAAUGUGACAAUUAAGAGUGUGGACCUAGUUUGUCACAUCCUGAAGUUGCUUCUACUUCUUCCUUAAUCUCCAAAGCUGAAGCCUUGACAUUAUCAUCACAAUAGAACACCUUGAUUGUUGUAAGCGUUCCAAUAUCCGCAAAACUGUCAGGAAUUUUCUCAAGCAAUUCAACAGAUCUUAGCACUAAACUCUCAAGC